UACGAAGGUCCCAAGCGUUAUCCGGAAUUAUUGGGCGUAAAGAGCUCGUAGGCGGUUUGUCGCGUCUGCCGUGAAAGUCCGGGGCUCAACUCCGGAUCUGCGGUGGGUACGGGCAGACUAGAGUGAUGUAGGGGAGACUGGAAUUCCUGGUGUAGCGGUGAAAUGCGCAGAUAUCAGGAGGAACACCGAUGGCGAAGGCAGGUCUCUGGGCAUUAACUGACGCUGAGGAGCGAAAGCAUGGGGAGCGAACAGG
Molecule: ribosomal RNA, 253 nt
Filed under: uncultured bacterium
Lineage: Bacteria
Description: partial 16S ribosomal RNA
Rfam family: Bacterial small subunit ribosomal RNA
Source: RNAcentral